Molecule: RNA transcript, 970 nt
Organism: Pyrus x bretschneideri (Chinese white pear)
Lineage: Eukaryota; Viridiplantae; Streptophyta; Magnoliopsida; Rosales; Rosaceae
Exons: 3
Source: RefSeq, a predicted model, not a curated record
UCAAACGUCAAACAAACUUCCCAAAAAUGGCAGCAGCAACUCUACUUCCCUCGACACCAUUUCACUACACAAACCCGCCAUUACCACUCCCCCGCCCAAACUCCCUCUUCUUCUCCUCCUUCUCAAACCCCUCCGCCGGCCACCACUUCCCUCGUCUACUUCCGCUGAUCACGUCUCCCCCUUUCCGUUUCAUCCCCGCCGUCCAUCCGUCUCUCUUAUUCUCGUCCCGGCCGUUGCCUUGCCGCCCAAUCAGGACCGCCUCUCCCUCCCCCGGAUUCUGACUCGACCAGCCUCGCAGGUCUUGCAGCAUCUUUCUCCAAAUUUCAGGACAAAGUACAGAUCUUCUUUGCUGUUCUUUUUUGGAUGUCUCUUUUCUUCUGGGCUUCUGUGUGGGAUGAAAGAGUCGACCAGACAAGGGCUCACGAUUUAGAAAAUGACCCAGUUAGGCUCAAGACUGAAAUGUAACUUGUGGAACAUGACAUGCAUCAAUCACCGAGUCCCAGAAGAACAUUAGGGUGGUACCUCGUGGUCCUCACCUAACCACUGACGUGGUCACGGUUCAACCUGUAAUUUUGUCCUGCACUUAAGUGAGUGCAACUAAUUGAUGAAGACAUUCUCGGUACAUCCUCUGUGCCUUAUUAUAUUCCAACUUAGGGUUUGUUUGGGACUGCUUGUGUAAGAAGCACUUCUACUACUAAGCGCUUCUGUGAGAAAUGUUUUAAUUAGAAACAUGUGGAAAUGUUAAUUAAAACUCCAAGUGCUUUCUAGAAAAGCACUUGAUGUGCUACCAGAAGAAACACAUAGCAAACAUAAUCGGCGAUUAGGAACCCUUUUGGUUGUCAGAAAGCAUUUUAGCCCUUCCAAAAGCAGCCUCAGACCGACACUUAUUCCAGUCGAGCUGGUUACUAUGGUGCAUUGUAUGUGUUUACACAUGGUGUUUUUUUAUGUUGAUGAGUUAUUCUUGGGGUUA